UACGGAGGGUGCAAGCGUUGUCCGGAAUCACUGGGCGUAAAGGGCGCGUAGGCGGCUCGGUAAGUAGGGGGUGAAAUCCUGCGGCUCAACCGCAGGGCUGCCUUCUAAACUGUCGAGCUCGAGCACGGUAGAGGCAGAUGGAAUUCCCGGUGUAGCGGUGGAAUGCGUAGAGAUCGGGAAGAACAUCAGUGGCGAAGGCGGUCUGCUGGGACGGUACUGACGCUGAGACGCGAAAGCGUGGGGAGCGAACAGG
This 253-nucleotide ribosomal RNA is filed under the name uncultured bacterium. Its description in RNAcentral is "partial 16S ribosomal RNA". It matches the Rfam family "Bacterial small subunit ribosomal RNA", at positions 524 to 776 of the family's 1533-position model. The record is from RNAcentral.